AGUGAACGCUGGCGGUAGGCCUAACACAUGCAAGUCGAACGGCAGCACAGUAAGAGCUUGCUCUUACGGGUGGCGAGUGGCGGACGGGUGAGGAAUACAUCGGAAUCUACUUUUUCGUGGGGGAUAACGUAGGGAAACUUACGCUAAUACCGCAUACGACCUACGGGUGAAAGCAGGGGAUCUUCGGACCUUGCGCGAUUGAAUGAGCCGAUGUCGGAUUAGCUAGUUGGCGGGGUAAAGGCCCACCAAGGCGACGAUCCGAAGCUGGUCUGAGAGGAUGAUCAGCCACACUGGAACUGAGACACGGUCCAGACUCCUACGGGAGGCAGCAGUGGGGAAUAUUGGACAAUGGGCGCAAGCCUGAUCCAGCCAUACCGCGUGGGUGAAGAAGGCCUUCGGGUUGUAAAGCCCUUUUGUUGGGAAAGAAAAGCAGCAGGUUAAUACCCCGCUGUUCUGACGGUACCCAAAGAAUAAGCACCGGCUAACUUCGUG
RNAcentral lists this ribosomal RNA (492 nucleotides) under uncultured bacterium. RNAcentral describes it as "partial 16S ribosomal RNA". It matches the Rfam family "Bacterial small subunit ribosomal RNA", at positions 29 to 507 of the family's 1533-position model. The record is from RNAcentral.